GGGGAUGUCAGGUUUCGACAGGGCUCAGGGACCGGGAACUGCAGGUCGAGGUCGCCCGCAGGCCUCGUAAAACCGCGGGCAAGCCAGUAACUGGCAAGAACAGUUACGCUCUCGCCGCCUAAGUAGCGACGAGCGCCGACACGGCCCUCUCUCGCCGGGCCGUGAAGGCGUCAUAAGGCGAGAUGCGGUGUCGCCGACUCCGGUGAGUGGCGCCAAAGGGCCGCGAGGCCAGCCGGAUAGCGAGCGGAGCACCCCGCCGGUUGGGGGCCCGCAAGCGAAGCUCGAAAUAGGCCGGAAACACCUGUAGCACGUUCCCGGCGACUCGGUUCUGGACGGGGAGUUCGAUUCUCCCCCAUCUCCACCA
Molecule: transfer-messenger RNA, 364 nt
Filed under: Chloroflexota (GNS bacteria)
Lineage: Bacteria; Bacillati
Also listed under: 2 other names
Description: CF-167 sp005879775 Standard tmRNA
Rfam family: transfer-messenger RNA
About the family: Bacterial tmRNA, also known as 10Sa RNA or SsrA, is named for its dual tRNA and mRNA-like properties.
Source: RNAcentral